Molecule: ribosomal RNA, 497 nt
Filed under: uncultured bacterium
Lineage: Bacteria
Description: partial 16S ribosomal RNA
Rfam family: Bacterial small subunit ribosomal RNA
Source: RNAcentral
GAUGAACGCUGGCGGCGUGCCUAAUACAUGCAAGUCGAGCGAACAGACGAGGAGCUUUCUCCUCUGACGUUAGCGGCGGACGGGUGAGUAACACGUGGAUAACCUACCUAUAAGACUGGGAUAACUUCGGGAAACCGGAGCUAAUAACGGAUAAUAUAUUGAACCGCAUGGUUCAAUAGUGAAAGACGGUUUUGCUGUCACUUAUAGAUGGAUCCGCGCCGCAUUAGCUAGUUGGUAAGGUAACGGCUUACCAAGGCAACGAUGCGUAGCCGACCUGAGAGGGUGAUCAGCCACACUGGAACUGAGACACGGUCCAGACUCCUACGGGAGGCAGCAGUAGGGAAUCUUGCGCAAAGGGCGAAAGCUUGACGGAGCAAUGCCGCGUGAGUGAUGAAGGUCUUCGGGUCGUAAAACUCUGUUAUUAGGGAAGAAAAAAUGUGUAAGUAACUAUGGACGUCUUGACGGUACCUAAUCAGAAAGCAACGGCUAACUACGUG